Molecule: unclassified non-coding RNA, 500 nt
Filed under: uncultured Glomus
Lineage: Eukaryota; Fungi; Glomeromycota; Glomeromycetes; Glomerales; Glomeraceae
Description: SSU rRNA
Rfam family: Eukaryotic small subunit ribosomal RNA
Source: RNAcentral
AGCAGCCGCGGUAAUUCCAGCUCCAAUAGCGUAUAUUAAAGUUGUUGCAGUUAAAAAGCUCGUAGUUGAAUCUCGGGAUCAAUAUGUUGGUCGUGCCUCGGUACGUACUAGCUUAUUGGUUUCUCCUUUCUGAAGAACCAUGAUGUCAUUUAUUUGGUGUCGUGGGGAAUCAGGACUGUUACUUUGAAAAAUUAGAGUGUUUAAAGCAGGCUCACGCUUGAAUACAUUAGCAUGGAAUAAUGAAAUAGGACGUUUGAUUCUAUUUUGUUGGUUUCUAGGAUCGACGUAAUGAUUAAUAGGGAUAGUUGGGGGCAUUAGUAUUCAAUUGUCAGAGGUGAAAUUCUUGGAUUUAUUGAAGACUAACUACUGCGAAAGCAUUUGCCAAGGAUGUUUUCAUUAAUCAAGAACGAAAGUUAGGGGAUCGAAGACGAUCAGAUACCGUCGUAGUCUUAACCAUAAACUAUGCCGACUAGGGAUCGGAUGAUGUUAAUUUUUAAUGA